GACGAACGCUGGCGGCGUGCCUAAUACAUGCAAGUCGAACGCUUCUUUCCUCCCGAGUGCUUGCACUCAAUUGGAAAGAGGAGUGGCGGACGGGUGAGUAACACGUGGGUAACCUACCCAUCAGAGGGGGAUAACACUUGGAAACAGGUGCUAAUACCGCAUAACAGUUUAUGCCGCAUGGCAUAAGAGUGAAAGGCGCUUUCGGGUGUCGCUGAUGGAUGGACCCGCGGUGCAUUAGCUAGUUGGUGAGGUAACGGCUCACCAAGGCAACGAUGCAUGGCCGACCGGAGAGGGUGAUCGGCCACACUGGGACUGAGACACGGCCCAGACUCCUACGGGAGGCAGCAGUAGGGAAUCUUCGGCAAUGGACGGAAGUCUGACCGAGCAACGCCGCGUGAGUGAAGAAGGUUUUCGGAUCGUAAAACUCUGUUGUUAGAGAAGAACAAGGACGUUAGUAACUGAACGUCCCCUGACGGUAUCUAACCAGAAAGCCACGGCUAACUACGUGCCAGCCGCCGCCGUAA
RNAcentral lists this ribosomal RNA (524 nucleotides) under uncultured bacterium. RNAcentral's name for it is "partial 16S ribosomal RNA". It matches the Rfam family "Bacterial small subunit ribosomal RNA", at positions 28 to 523 of the family's 1533-position model. The record is from RNAcentral.